GAUGAACGCUGGCGGCGUGCCUAACACAUGCAAGUCGAGCGAUGAAGUUUCCUUCGGGAAAUGGAUUAGCGGCGGACGGGUGAGUAACACGUGGGUAACCUGCCUCAUAGUGGGGGAUAGCCUUCCGAAAGGGAGAUUAAUACCGCAUAACAUCAUUAGAUGGCAUCAUUUAGUGAUCAAAGGAUUUAUUCGCUAUGAGAUGGACCCGCGUCGCAUUAGCUAGUUGGUAGGGUAAUGGCUUACCAAGGCGACGAUGCGUAGCCGACCUGAGAGGGUGAUCGGCCACAUUGGGACUGAGACACGGCCCAGACUCCUACGGGGGGCAGCAGUGGGGAAUAUUGCACAAUGGGGGAAACCCUGAUGCAGCAACGCCGCGUGAGUGAUGACGGUCUUCGGAUUGUAAAGCUCUGUCUUUGGGGACGAUAAUGACGGUACCCAAGGAGGAAGCCACGGCUAACUAC
Molecule: ribosomal RNA, 461 nt
Filed under: uncultured bacterium
Lineage: Bacteria
Description: bacterial SSU rRNA
Rfam family: Bacterial small subunit ribosomal RNA
Source: RNAcentral